UACGUAGGGUGCAAGCGUUGUCCGGAAUUAUUGGGCGUAAAGAGCUCGUAGGUGGUUCGGUAAGUCGGAUGUGAAAUCUCCAGGCUCAACCUGGAGGGGUCAUUCGAUACUGCCGUGACUAGAGGUCGGUAGGGGAGUGUGGAAUUCCUGGUGGAGCGGUGAAAUGCGCAGAUAUCAGGAGGAACACCGGUGGCGAAGGCGGGUCUCUGGGCAGUAACUGACGCUGAGGAGCGAAAGCGUGGGGAGCGAACAGG
RNAcentral lists this ribosomal RNA (254 nucleotides) under uncultured bacterium. Its description in RNAcentral is "partial 16S ribosomal RNA". It matches the Rfam family "Bacterial small subunit ribosomal RNA", at positions 524 to 776 of the family's 1533-position model. The record is from RNAcentral.